RNAcentral lists this ribosomal RNA (322 nucleotides) under uncultured eukaryote. Its description in RNAcentral is "partial 18S ribosomal RNA". It matches the Rfam family "Eukaryotic small subunit ribosomal RNA", at positions 1470 to 1796 of the family's 1831-position model. The record is from RNAcentral.
CCCUUAGAUGUUCUGGGCCGCACGCGUGCUACACUGAGUGGAUCAGCGGGUCAGGUUGCGCGAAAGCGUUUCCUAAUCUUGAAAUCCGCUCGUGAUGGGGAUUGACGGUUGCAAUUUUCUGUCAUGAACGAGGAAUACCUUGUAAGCGCGAGUCAUCAUCCCGCGCUGAAUACGUCCCUGCCCUUUGUACACACCGCCCGUCGCUCCUACCGAUUGAGUGGUCCGGUGAGGCUUUGGGAUCUGAGCGGAAAGAGCGUUUCGCUCGUUCUGCCCGGAAAACUCAGUCGAACCUUAUCGCUUAGAGGAAGGAAAAGUCGUAACA